This 253-nucleotide ribosomal RNA is filed under the name uncultured bacterium. RNAcentral's name for it is "partial 16S ribosomal RNA". It matches the Rfam family "Bacterial small subunit ribosomal RNA", at positions 524 to 776 of the family's 1533-position model. The record is from RNAcentral.
UACGUAGGGGGCUAGCGUUGUCCGGAAUCAUUGGGCGUAAAGAGCGUGUAGGCGGUCCGGUAAGUCCGCUGUGAAAGUCGGGGGCUCAACCCUCGAAUGCCGGUGGAUACUGUCGGGCUAGAGUGCGGAAGAGGCGAGUGGAAUUCCUGGUGUAGCGGUGAAAUGCGCAGAUAUCAGGAGGAACACCUAUUGCGAAGGCAGCUCGCUGGGACGUAACUGACGCUGAGACACGAAAGCGUGGGGAGCGAACAGG